UACGUAGGGUGCAAGCGUUAAUCGGAAUUACUGGGCGUAAAGCGUGCGCAGGCGGUUUUGUAAGUCUGUCGUGAAAUCCCCGGGCUCAACCUGGGAAUUGCGUUGGAGACUGCAAGGCUAGAAUCUGGCAGAGGGGGGUAGAAUUCCGCGUGUAGCAGUGAAAUGCGUAGAGAUGUGGAGGAACACCGAUGGCGAAGGCAGCCCCCUGGGUCAAGAUUGACGCUCAUGCACGAAAGCGUGGGGAGCAAACAGG
This 253-nucleotide ribosomal RNA is filed under the name uncultured bacterium. Its description in RNAcentral is "partial 16S ribosomal RNA". It matches the Rfam family "Bacterial small subunit ribosomal RNA", at positions 524 to 776 of the family's 1533-position model. The record is from RNAcentral.